UACGAAUGGGGCAAGCGUUGUUCGGAAUCACUGGGCUUAAAGCGUGCGCAGGCGGUCUUGCAAGUCAGAAGUGAAAGCCCGGGGCUUAACCCCGGAAUUGCUUUUGAAACUGCAAGACUAGAAUAUGGGAGAGGUUAGCAGAAUUCCGAGUGUAGAGGUGAAAUUCGCAGAUAUUCGGAGGAAUACCAGUGGCGAAGGCGGCUAACUGGACCAUUAUUGACGCUCAGGCACGAAAGCGUGGGGAGCAAAC
RNAcentral lists this ribosomal RNA (250 nucleotides) under uncultured bacterium. RNAcentral's name for it is "partial 16S ribosomal RNA". It matches the Rfam family "Bacterial small subunit ribosomal RNA", at positions 524 to 773 of the family's 1533-position model. The record is from RNAcentral.